GAUGAACGCUAGCGGCAGGCUUAACACAUGCAAGUCGAGGGGCAUCACGGGUAGCAAUACCUGGUGGCGACCGGCGCAAGGGUGCGUAACGCGUGAGCAACAUGCCCUAUACAGGGGGAUAAUCCAGGGAAACUUGGUCUAAUAUCCCAUAGCAUUUAGAGGUGGCAUCACCAUUAAAUUAAAGCUUCGGUGGUAUAGGAUUGGCUCGCGUGACAUUAGCUAGAUGGUGGGGUAACGGCUCACCAUGGCUAUGAUGUCUAGGGGUUCUGAGAAGAAGACCCCCCACACUGGGACUGAGACACGGCCCAGACUCCUACGGGAGGCAGCAGUGAGGAAUAUUGGACAAUGGAUGGAAAUCUGAUCCAGCCAUGCCGCGUGCAGGAAGACGGCCCUAUGGGUUGUAAACUGCUUUUAUAUGGGAGCAAUAAGGUCUACGAGUAGACCGAUGAGAGUACCAUAUGAAUAAGCAUCGG
This 473-nucleotide ribosomal RNA is filed under the name uncultured bacterium. RNAcentral describes it as "bacterial SSU rRNA". It matches the Rfam family "Bacterial small subunit ribosomal RNA", at positions 28 to 496 of the family's 1533-position model. The record is from RNAcentral.